Molecule: long non-coding RNA, 824 nt
Organism: Syngnathoides biaculeatus (alligator pipefish)
Lineage: Eukaryota; Metazoa; Chordata; Actinopteri; Syngnathiformes; Syngnathidae
Exons: 2
Source: RefSeq, a predicted model, not a curated record
UGUACAGUGCCUGUACUUGUGAAUUGCAGUACAUUUGGAAUCAGACAGUCAAACCAGGAAGUCAGUUUGCUUGCUUCAUUCAUUUCAGCAAACAUCCUUGUUUUUUUAUCUCAUUGAUUUUUAAAGGUUAAGUGUCAUCCCUAUAACCAUUCUAAAAUAGAUAUUGAAAUGAAAAAUACAUAUAACAUUAUUCACUUCAAUGUCCAUAUGAAAAAAUAAAUGUGAGCAGAGAGCGCGUCAUCCAUGCCCAAAGUUGCAGAAGUGUCAUUCUACGACAUCCAAGUGGUCGCCAUAUUGGCUGCAUUAACUGCCCGUGACGUCACCCCCGACAUUCACUGUGGGAGACGAACACGCCCCCUCUGACACGGAAGCUCUUUUCGAAGAAGAGAACAUCUCACAAUUGAGUGAAGUGUCCGGGGCAAUAUUACCCUAUUGUUUCAAGCCAUAUUUAGAUGAUAUGCGGAUCACUUCUAACUAACAACAGACUCCCAGACAGUAUGUAUAAGCCAGGCCGGCCGAAGCUGUGCUCAUCCGCGAGGCAUGACGUGGUAGCCUUCACCGGCGAGCCCGACACGGAAGCCCUCCGACGAACCGGGUCUCUUGGAAACUUAUGAAGGGUAAAACUAAUAGAAACAAACGAGUCCGCUUGAGGGUGCUCCUGCCCCGUAUGUCACUUCCUGCUUCUUGUCAAAAACAAAACCCACAAGAGGAUUUUCAUGGCGGGAGUUACAAAAAGCCAUCUGCGUCAAAAUCAUGUUUUAUGGUGAAAAUAACGGAUGGGUCCAUACCAGCUGCUUUUUUUUUUUUUUUUUUUUUAUUAAUAA